This 467-nucleotide ribosomal RNA is filed under the name uncultured bacterium. Its description in RNAcentral is "partial 16S ribosomal RNA". It matches the Rfam family "Bacterial small subunit ribosomal RNA", at positions 28 to 507 of the family's 1533-position model. The record is from RNAcentral.
GACGAACGCUGGCGGCGUGCUUAACACAUGCAAGUCGAACGGAAAGGCCUCUUUCGGGGGGUACUCGAGUGGCGAACGGGUGAGUAACACGUGAGUAACCUGCCCUUGACUUUGGGAUAACUUCAGGAAACUGGGGCUAAUACCGGAUAGGAGCUCCUGCUGCAUGGUGGGGGUUGGAAAGUUUCGGCGGUUGGGGAUGGACUCGCGGCUUAUCAGCUUGUUGGUGGGGUAGUGGCUUACCAAGGCUUUGACGGGUAGCCGGCCUGAGCGGGUGACCGGCCACAUUGGGACUGAGAUACGGCCCAGACUCCUACGGGAGGCAGCAGUGGGGAAUAUUGCACAAUGGGUGGAAGCCUGAUGCAGCAACGCCGUGUGCGGGAUGACGGCCUUCGGGUUGUAAACCGCUUUCGCUCAUGACGAAGCUUUGUGUGACGGUAGUGGGUAAAGAAGCACCGGCUAACUACGUG